Molecule: ribosomal RNA, 372 nt
Filed under: uncultured Alphaproteobacteria bacterium
Lineage: Bacteria; Pseudomonadati; Pseudomonadota; Alphaproteobacteria
Description: bacterial SSU rRNA
Rfam family: Bacterial small subunit ribosomal RNA
Source: RNAcentral
AAGACGGGGGGUGCUAGCGUUGCUCGGAAUCACUGGGCGUAAAGGGCGCGCAGAAACCCGCGUGCGUCGGGCGUGAAAUCCCGGGGCUCAACCCCGGAACGGCGCCCGAUACGGCGUGGCUGGAGGCCGGAAGAGGAGGAAACAAUUCCCGGUGUAGAGGUGAAAUUCGUAGAUAUCGGGAGGAACACCGGUGGCGAAGAAACCUCUCUGGUCCGGUCCUGACGCUCAGGCGCGAAAGCGUGGGGAGCAAACAGGAUUAGAUACCCUGGUAGUCCACGCCCUAAACGAUGUGCGCUAGCCGUCGGGGGGUUUCCCCUCGGUGGCGCAGCCAACGCGUUGAGCGCACCGCCUGGGGAGUACGGCCGCAAGGCU